Non-coding RNA from Podarcis lilfordi (Lilford's wall lizard), 454 nucleotides. Lineage: Eukaryota; Metazoa; Chordata; Lepidosauria; Squamata; Lacertidae. The record is from the annotation of a GenBank genome assembly.
CCUGUCUACACAGAGUAGCAGUGGCUCUCCAGGAUUUCAGACAGGGGUCUGCCCCAGCCCCACCUGUGUGCUAAGCAGAUGCUCUACCAUUGGGUUUUACAGAAGCUUCAAAGAAAAUGUACACAGAGUAAUUGUGAAAACAUUACAGGCAACAGAAGGUUGCCUGGUAUUAGGGGCAAUAGCUUCAUUGAUGCAUGGGAAACUGAGGUGGGGUUCCAGAAACCUGCAAAAGGGCAACAAACUACAAGAAGGACGCAGCUGGAGAGAAUGAUUCCUAGUUUCAGUUGUCUCUACUGAAAGGCACAGGGUAUGGGAAACAAGCAAGAUGAAUUGGAGCUUUUAAUACAGGAUGGCAAAUAAGACAUAUGACCUAGAAGGCGAGUAGGCAUUGCCUCAGGGUUCAAGAUUUCUUUAACAGAUUGGAGAAUUGGGUUAACAAAAUGAAUUUCAAUAG